GCCCGGCUAGCUCAGUUGGUAGAGCAUUCGACUCUUAUGACAGAGUUUAUCACUUUCUGCUCUGCUGUGGAAACGAUAUCGAAUUGUCGUGGGUUCGAGCCCCACGUUGGGCG
Molecule: transfer RNA, 113 nt
Filed under: Puccinia graminis f. sp. tritici
Lineage: Eukaryota; Fungi; Basidiomycota; Pucciniomycetes; Pucciniales; Pucciniaceae
Rfam family: tRNA
About the family: Transfer RNA (tRNA) molecules are approximately 80 nucleotides in length. Their secondary structure includes four short double-helical elements and three loops (D, anti-codon, and T loops).
Source: Rfam by way of RNAcentral